Molecule: non-coding RNA, 28 nt
Filed under: Rattus norvegicus (Norway rat)
Lineage: Eukaryota; Metazoa; Chordata; Mammalia; Rodentia; Muridae
Source: RNAcentral
UCCACAAGGGCUAGAUUGGAUUCAGUAU